Non-coding RNA from Pseudonaja textilis, 245 nucleotides. The record is from RefSeq and is a predicted model, not a curated record. NCBI's taxonomy places the organism in Eukaryota, Metazoa, Chordata, Lepidosauria, Squamata, Elapidae.
UGGUUUUGAAGGAAAGCAACUGUUUAGAAUUGCUCCAAGGGAAAACUGUUUGAAAGAGCAGAAUUAUCCAUGCUUUCUGCAGUCUUCUUUUGUGCAGCUUCAUUCCAUUUCAGUGGAGCAAUUCUUUAGGGAAGACCAUGCCCUCAGACCUCUCUGCCACUUAACAUGCAAGCUGAUUGGGGUUGGAAGCUCUUGGAGCAUUUGUAGAAACUCUUAUCCUUGCAAUAAGGCAAAAGGCUGUCUCC